Molecule: long non-coding RNA, 608 nt
Organism: Oncorhynchus tshawytscha (Chinook salmon)
Lineage: Eukaryota; Metazoa; Chordata; Actinopteri; Salmoniformes; Salmonidae
Source: Ensembl
GAGAAGAGAGACACCACAACACUACAUAAAGAGAGACAACACAACACGACAUAAAGAGAGACAACACAACACUACAUAAAGAGAGACAACACAACACAACAUAAGUGUUGAAGAAGGUAGAGACAUAAGAAGGUAGAGACAACAACAAGAAGGUGGAGACAACAACAAGAAGGUGGAGACAACAACAAGAAGGUAGAGACAACAACAAGAAGGUGGAGACAACAACAAGAAGGUAGAGACAACAACACAAAGGGCAAGAAGGUAGAGACAACAGCAAGAAGGUAGAGACAACAGCAAGAAGGUAGAGACAACAGCAAGAAGGUAGAGACAACAGCAAGAAGGUAGAGACAACAGCAAGAAGGUGGAGACAACAACACAUCACACAAAGCAGCCACAACUGUCAGUAAGAGUGUCCAUAAUUGAGUCUUUGAAUGAAGAGAUUGAGAUAAAACAGUCCAGUUUGAGUGUUUGUUGCAGCUCGUUCCAGUCGCUAGCUGAAGUGAACUGAAAAGAGGAGCGACCCAGGGAUGUGUGUGCUUUAGGGAUCUUUAACAGAAUGUGACUGACAGAACGGAUGUUGUAUGUGGAGGAUGAGGGCUGCAGUAGAU